Molecule: ribosomal RNA, 566 nt
Filed under: uncultured bacterium
Lineage: Bacteria
Description: bacterial SSU rRNA
Rfam family: Bacterial small subunit ribosomal RNA
Source: RNAcentral
GUCGAGCGACAGACGAGGAGCUUGCUCCUCUGACGUUAGCGGCGGACGGGUGAGUAACACGUGGAUAACCUACCUAUAAGACUGGGAUAGCUUCGGGAAACCGGAGCUAAUACCGGAUAAUAUAUUGAACCGCAUGGUCCAAUAGUGAAAGACGGUUUUGCUGUCACUUAUAGAUGGAUCCGCGCCGCAUUAGCUAGUUGGUAAGGUAACGGCUUACCAAGGCAACGAUGCGUAGCCGACCUGAGAGGGUGAUCGGCCACACUGGAACUGAGACACGGUCCAGACUCCUACGGGAGGCAGCAGUAGGGAAUCUUCCGCAAUGGGCGAAAGCCUGACGGAGCAACGCCGCGUGAGUGAUGAAGGUCUUCGGAUCGUAAAACUCUGUUAUUAGGGAAGAACAAAUGUGUAAGUAACUAUGCACGUCUUGACGGUACCUAAUCAGAAAGCCACGGCUAACUACGUGCCAGCAGCCGCGGUAAUACGUAGGUGGCAAGCGUUAUCCGGAAUUAUUGGGCGUAAAGCGCGCGUAGGUGGUUUUUUAAGUCUGAUAUGAAAGCCCACGGCUC